Long non-coding RNA from Heterocephalus glaber (naked mole-rat), 859 nucleotides. The record is from Ensembl. NCBI's taxonomy places the organism in Eukaryota, Metazoa, Chordata, Mammalia, Rodentia, Bathyergidae.
GGCUGAGGUAGGAGGAUCACACGUUCCAGCCUGGGAAAUUUAGUGACAACAUAUUCCUCUCUAAGCUCUUAGGAUAAGUUAUAUACAAUAUGUUGUUUCAUUUAUUAUCUUAAAUCAGACAUGAUGUAAAGAAAGUUAGAACCUUCUCAUUAAUUCAGCCGUACUCUUUAGAACCAAUUCUAUUUCAGUUGAGUAGGCCCUCUGUUCUCUUCACCACGUAUAGAGGCAGAUGUCAGUCACAGAGGUCAGAUCUUUGCAUGACAGCAAGAGUGGAAUUCGGCUGCAUCCAUGCACAGGUUCACCCUGGCCAUCCCACCACUUUUGAACCAGCCAGGUGUGAAGAAGCUGAUGCUUGAUGGAGUGUACUCAGAUUCCAGGAAAAGCAAAGCUCCAUGUGACAGAAGCCACCAUAAACACAGAUAAGCAUUUCGUGGGGACAGAGCACCCUGCGAGCCAUGAAGAUUCCAGAGCUACAAAACCAGGACUGAGGUCAGCCAGAGCCCAGCCCGCCAGCUUGAGUCUCUCCCCGGAACUCCAGCCUCCUGUAGGCACCAGCCCGCUGAACACCUGUAACUGGACACGGAACAGCAAGGCUGCCUUACAGCACACUGGAGUUUCCGGAGUCCUCUCCUAGUCUUCUCUCGGGCCCAAGUCGGGGCCACGCCGUCCUCCCAGUGUUCCUGGCUGAAGAUGACAGUCACACUCUGCUUCUCUCUCAUUCUCACACCCCACAUUCUGCACGUGCAGAGCCUGGCAGUGUCAUCUUCGCUGCUCUUCUUGAGCACGUCCUUGGGAUCGGUGCCAGGGCCUCCUGCAGAUACCAAAUUGGCAAAUAAUCAAGUAUCUCCUAUAAAGUGAU